RNAcentral lists this ribosomal RNA (497 nucleotides) under uncultured bacterium. Its description in RNAcentral is "partial 16S ribosomal RNA". It matches the Rfam family "Bacterial small subunit ribosomal RNA", at positions 28 to 507 of the family's 1533-position model. The record is from RNAcentral.
GAUGAACGCUGGCGGCGUGCCUAAUACAUGCAAGUCGAGCGAACAGACGAGGAGCUUGCUCCUCUGACGUUAGCGGCGGACGGGUGAGUAACACGUGGAUAACCUACCUAUAAGACUGGGAUAACUUCGGGAAACCGGAGAUAAUACCGGCUCAUAUAUUGAACCGCAUGGUUCAAUAGUGGAAGACGGUUUUGCUGUCACUUAUAGAUGGUUCCGCGCCGCAUUAGCUAGUUGGUAAGGUAACGGCUUACCAAGGCAACGAUGCGUAGCCGACCUGAGAGGAUGAUCAGCCACACUGGAACUGAGACACGGUCCAGACUCCUACGGGAGGCAGCAGUAGGGAAUCUUCCGCAAUGGGCGAAAGCCUGACGGAGCAACGCCGCGUGAGUGAUGAAGGUCUUCGGAUCGUAAAACUCUGUUAUUAGGGAAGAACAAAUGUGUAAGUAACUAUGCACGUCUUGACGGUACCUAAUCAGAAAGCCACGGCUAACUACGUG